CAGUCGCACCACGGAAAGAUGCUACAAACGCUGCCUUCCACCCACUGUCUUGAUGACAACCAGCUCAUCGCUGGCCUCAGCCAAACUGAAGGUUGAUAUCGAAUGUGACUACUCCCCACCAGGGCUGUGACUCAGAAACCACCCAGGGCUUCAUUUGCAUUGCUGAGUCACCUCCUGGUUUUGUGAGAUCAGUGGACAUUUCCUGUCCCCUUCUUUGCAAGGACCUGAGUCCCAGUUUUGCCAGCUGGACUUUGAUUGUCAGUUCCUGUUGCUGUUCUCCCUGGGGCUGUCACCCCCGGGCCACCCUCCAGAGCACACACGCCACCCACGUGCCUGAGCGCAGUGUGGCUUUGAGCUGUCGUCUGCCAUGCUAACAGGUUCUGAAGACGAGCAGAAGUUCCACGGUGCCAGAUCUGGUGAAUAAGGUGGAGGAGAACACGCAGUCAUAUUUUUAGGGCCUGCUUUUCCGCUGGGUGGCACCUGCCAGCAGCAUUCUCUCUGUUUUUGAUCACACGUCAUAAUGACACCCAGGGAAGAGGACUCCAGAGCUGCUUCAGACAGCGGUGGCUGAUUAUCCCUGAUAGGACGUGGAUGUGCUCUCGGUCUUUGUGAGUUCCCUGGUUUGAUGGUCAACCCCAGCCCCAACGUCAGGGAAGAAGAAACACAGCAGAGUGUGCCGAGGUGUUGAUCCUUGUCUCCAGGAGGGCAGCUCAGACAUCAGUGAGAUCCUGAUGGUCCAGAGGGGUGAAGACGGAGCCCUGGGAGGAAAGAGCCACCUGGCAGGGACAUGGCAGCCUGCACAGAGGACGAGCAGCGGGUUCUGUCCACUCCACGGCCACAGGGUGGAAGGGGCCUUUGGGGAGUUGGGGCUCCCAGGCAGGGCAGGGUGAGGAGGAGACCCCCGUGCUCCGGGUCCUUCCCCAGAACCAGGUGCAGAACCAGGCUGCGUGCUGUGAGCGGGCAUCAUACCUGCUCUCACCCUAGCAGAGCAUUAGUUAACACAGGGCUCUAAACCACGUGCAGCUCCUCGGGCUCGAGUCAGAGUAGUUCUCACAUGUGCGGCACUGCAGGUAGAGACUUCAUGAAGACUUACGGGAAGUGUAAAACCUCACUUUAACUGUUAAAUGAGAAAGUCUAAAGCCUGAGAAUGGGUGGCAGGGGAGAAUAGAGAAAUGAUUGAUCUGCCAAGCGUCUGAGUCAACAUCACAUUAGAAGACAAAAACACCUGGCUGAAAAAGGCUGGUGGCAAGCAGACGAGGUCUGAGGAGCUCUGGGUCAUGACAGGAGGUCGGAGAGCCCAGCACCAUUGCACUGGAUGGGUCUGCACAAGUCCCCAGCCCGGAAAGAAGAGUUUUUCUCAGUAGAUUAUAGGGGUUGAUGCAAGAAAGGUUGCACAUAAAAUAUACACAGGAGAAAAAUCAAAUACAGUGUGCAAACCACACAUAAACAUCUGGACAAAUUUUUAAAAGCACAGAAUCUCACAGAAUCCACUACAGACAUUUCCAAACAGGCAUCACCUAGUGACGGACAAACUCUCCUUCGCCUCCAAGCAGUGAGUAUUUUAUCGAUGUGCCUUCCACUCCAACACCUGUGUCCGUGUCCGUGCAAGUGUCUCCAUCUGGAAAUAACAAAGGCGUCAGUGGAGACUGCACGUCUCUAGCCUCACAGCCAUGGUCCCUCAAGCUGUCCCCAGGCCUGGGCCAGAGGGAGAUGCCGGCUCCACUCAGGCCAGGUGCCCUGGGAUCCCCCCUCCUGCGUUGUACAGCACAUCUGGACCCGGGAGCUGGGAGACAGGGCGCCAGUACAGCAUCACCUUCUUUUCCCCAGUAAGAGUCCUAAGUGACGAAUGUUCGAGUAGAACAAGAGGAAGUGUGACAGGGAGUGCCCAGUGCUCUCACCGGGGAC
Non-coding RNA from Heterocephalus glaber (naked mole-rat), 1905 nucleotides. The record is from RefSeq and is a predicted model, not a curated record. Lineage: Eukaryota; Metazoa; Chordata; Mammalia; Rodentia; Bathyergidae.